UGCGUAGGUGGUUUCUUAAGUCAGAGGUGAAAGGCUACGGCUCAACCGUAGUAAGCCUUUGAAACUGGGAAACUUGAGUGCAGGAGAGGAGAGUGGAAUUCCUAGUGUAGCGGUGAAAUGCGUAGAUAUUAGGAGGAACACCAGUUGCGAAGGCGGCUCUCUGGACUGUAACUGACACUGAGGCACGAAAGCGUGGGAGCAACA
Molecule: ribosomal RNA, 204 nt
Filed under: uncultured bacterium
Lineage: Bacteria
Description: partial 16S ribosomal RNA
Rfam family: Bacterial small subunit ribosomal RNA
Source: RNAcentral